Molecule: transfer RNA, 74 nt
Filed under: Pteropus alecto (black flying fox)
Lineage: Eukaryota; Metazoa; Chordata; Mammalia; Chiroptera; Pteropodidae
Rfam family: tRNA
About the family: Transfer RNA (tRNA) molecules are approximately 80 nucleotides in length.
Source: Rfam by way of RNAcentral
GGCUCUAUAGUGUAGUAGAUAGCACAUCUGCUUUACAUGCAGAAGGUCCUGGGUUCGCACCCAAGGUGGAGCCA